This 497-nucleotide ribosomal RNA is filed under the name uncultured bacterium. RNAcentral describes it as "partial 16S ribosomal RNA". It matches the Rfam family "Bacterial small subunit ribosomal RNA", at positions 28 to 507 of the family's 1533-position model. The record is from RNAcentral.
GAUGAACGCUGGCGGCGUGCCUAAUACAUGCAAGUCGAGCGAACAGACGAGGAGCUUGCUCCUCUGACGUUAGCGGCGGACGGGUGAGUAACACGUGGAUAACCUACCUAUAAGACUGGGAUAACUUCGGGAAACCGGAGCUAAUACCGGAUAAUAUAUUGAACCGCAUGGUUCAAUAGUGAAAGACGGUUUUGCUGUCACUUAUAGAUGGAUCCGCGCCGCAUUAGCUAGUUGGUAAGGUAACGGCUUACCAAGGCGACGAUGCGUAGCCGACCUGAGAGGGGGAUCGGCAACACUGGAACGGAGACACGGUCCAGACUCCUACGGGAGGCAGCAGUAGGGAAUCUUCCGCAAUGGGCGAAAGCCUGACGGAGCAACGCCGCGUGAGUGAUGAAGGCCUUCGGAUCGUAAAACUCUGUUAUUAGGGAAGAACAAAUGUGUAAGUAACUAUGCACGUCUUGACGGUACCUAAUCAGAAAGCCACGGCUAACUACGUG